Cygnus olor (mute swan) is the source of this 481-nucleotide long non-coding RNA. RefSeq lists it as uncharacterized. The record is from RefSeq and is a predicted model, not a curated record. The transcript has 4 exons. Lineage: Eukaryota; Metazoa; Chordata; Aves; Anseriformes; Anatidae.
AGAUGUACUUUUUUCCAAAGUAAGAGAAGAACAGGGAGGAAGAAAAGUCAAGGGACAGAAAGCGUGGAGGUUCAGGUUUCUGACUGUGUGAGUGAGAGCUGAGGCGUUCAGCAGAAAUUACAGAGGGUAGGGUGGUAAAUGUUAGCAGUGGGAGCAGUGGAAUUACAGAUACUGCAUAAUUGACUGCACGGCAUUAGCCAGGCACCACGUGGUAUAGGAACACAUACUCUGACGAAAAAGCACCAAGGCUCUGGUGAAAUUCACUGUGGGAGGAGAGGUCACAUAAAGAUCGUUCUCAUCACUGCUGAGGUAUGGGCACUACUGUAGUGAAAGGACUAUUUCAACAAAAUCAAGCAUGGAGGUGAGGAGUAAAAAAAGGGGCAGAGUAUAGCCCAGCAAGCAAGUCCUGAUAUUGCUGACAGAAUAGCACCAUAGAAUCAUAGGAUAUCCUGAGCUGGAAGGGACACACAAGGAUCAUCAA